AACAUUGACUUUCGGCCGCCGAAAGUGGGUUUUCAACCAGCCCCCUAAGUGUAACCUUCGGCUUCCGAAAGUGAGGGACAGAGACGAAAGUCCCACACUUUCGGCCGCCGAACAUUUAACCUUCGGCCGCCGAAAGUGUGUUUUGGGUCUGCCUCCGAAGCCUAAAGUUUGGCUUCCGAAAGUGAGGAACAGAAACGAAAGUCCACCAUGUUCGGCCGCCGAACAUUGAGUUUAGGCCGCCGAAAGUUCAGUUUUAAAGGAAUAGUUUCUUCGCCC
This 276-nucleotide long non-coding RNA is filed under the name Manihot esculenta (cassava). RNAcentral's name for it is "long non-coding RNA (MESC_LNC009109)". Lineage: Eukaryota; Viridiplantae; Streptophyta; Magnoliopsida; Malpighiales; Euphorbiaceae. The record is from RNAcentral.